UGCCAGGAUCCUCCUGUAUCGAGGUGCCGACAAGGAUGUGAAGAAUAACAACGGACAGACCCCCUUCCAGGUGGCAGUGAUUGCUGGGAAUUUUGAGCUGGGGGAGCUGAUCCGAAACCACCGAGAACAGGAUGUGGGUGAGUGACAGGGAGCUGGGGCUGCACAGAGAACCUGGGGCCGUUGGGGUUUCAUGGUCGGAUGGGGAAGUUGGGGGACCUGACUUGGGAGCCAGGAUAGGAUGGAGAAAACCCUAGAGGACCAAAAAUGUCUGGAUGGUGGUGGGGGAGCAAUUCCAGGCCCCCCGCCCUUUCUCAUCUCUGUCUUUCUCCCUCAUGCCUCUCUCCCACCAUCUCUUGCCCCCGCAUGGCCCCCUGCUUGCCUUUUCUCCCCUAACAUCUGCCCCCCGCCGCCACUGUGCCCUCUCAGUGCCCUUCCAGGAGUCCCCCAAGUACGCGGCCCGGCGACGGGGGCCCCCAGGCACAGGGCUGACGGUGCCCCCGGCGCUGCUGCGGGCCAACAGUGACACCAGCAUGGCGCUGCCCGACUGGAUGGUGUUCU
This 558-nucleotide small RNA is filed under the name Pongo abelii (Sumatran orangutan). RNAcentral's name for it is "retained intron". The record is from RNAcentral. Lineage: Eukaryota; Metazoa; Chordata; Mammalia; Primates; Hominidae.